GGGAUCGUAAGGGUUUCGACGUGUUAGUAGAAGCUAUCCCUUGAUGCAGGUCGAGAGCGGGCUAUCUCUCGUAAAUCAAUGGCUCAAACAAGUACAUGCGAACAACAUUGUAUCUUUCUCUCGUAAAGCAGCUCCUGUAGCCGCCUAAGAACCUUUUCGGUUUCGAGGUGUGAUGUAUGACUCCGUUAAAUAUGUCACUCCAACCCCCAACGGAUGCUGCUUAUAACUUUCUCUGGUAGGUUAUUCGCUCAAGACUUUAUCAGUGCAUCUUUCGUUGCUAGAGAUAAUUAGCAAUUCCCUCCGUGAGGAUUAAAUCGGAUAAACCUGUGAAUGACUGGGAGGUUAGGCGCUAGUGCGGACGGCAGUUCGACUCUGCCCGAUUCCAUUA
RNAcentral lists this transfer-messenger RNA (388 nucleotides) under Pseudanabaena frigida. Its description in RNAcentral is "Standard tmRNA". It matches the Rfam family "transfer-messenger RNA". Rfam says of the family: Bacterial tmRNA, also known as 10Sa RNA or SsrA, is named for its dual tRNA and mRNA-like properties. Lineage: Bacteria; Bacillati; Cyanobacteriota; Cyanophyceae; Pseudanabaenales; Pseudanabaenaceae. The record is from RNAcentral.